This 433-nucleotide ribosomal RNA is filed under the name uncultured bacterium. RNAcentral's name for it is "partial 16S ribosomal RNA". It matches the Rfam family "Bacterial small subunit ribosomal RNA", at positions 29 to 507 of the family's 1533-position model. The record is from RNAcentral.
AACGAACGCUGGCGGCAUGCCUAACACAUGCAAGUCGAACGAAGGCUUCGGCCUUAGUGGCGCACGGGCGCGUAACGCGUGGGAAUCUGCCCUUUGGUUCGGAAUAACAGCUGGAAACGGCUGCUAAUACCGGAUGAUGACGAAAGUCCAAAGAUUUAUCGCCAGAGGAUGAGCCCGCGUUGGAUUAGGUAGUUGGUGGGGUAAAGGCCUACCAAGCCGACGAUCCAUAGCUGGCCUGAGAGGAUGAUCAGCCACACUGGGACUGAGACACGGCCCAGACUCCUACGGGAGGCAGCAGUGGGGAAUAUUGGACAAUGGGCGCAAGCCUGAUCCAGCAAUGCCGCGUGAGUGAUGAAGGCCCUAGGGUUGUAAAGCUCUUUUACCCGGGAAGAUAAUGACUGUACCGGGAGAAUAAGCCCCGGCUAACUCCGUG